RNAcentral lists this ribosomal RNA (481 nucleotides) under uncultured bacterium. RNAcentral describes it as "bacterial SSU rRNA". It matches the Rfam family "Bacterial small subunit ribosomal RNA", at positions 28 to 502 of the family's 1533-position model. The record is from RNAcentral.
GAUGAACGCUAGCGGCAGGCUUAACACAUGCAAGUCGAGGGGUAUCACGCUUUCGGGCGUGAGAGACCGGCGCACGGGUGCGUAACGCGUAUACAAUCUACCUUUUACAGAGGGAUAGCCCAGAGAAAUUUGGAUUAAUACCUCAUAGUAUUUUCGAAUGGCAUCAUUUGAUUAUUAAAGUUCCAACGGUAAAAGAUGAGUAUGCGUCCCAUUAGCUAGAUGGUAAGGUAACGGCUUACCAUGGCAACGAUGGGUAGGGGUCCUGAGAGGGAGAUCCCCCACACUGGUACUGAGACACGGACCAGACUCCUACGGGAGGCAGCAGUGAGGAAUAUUGGACAAUGGGCGCAAGCCUGAUCCAGCCAUGCCGCGUGCAGGAUGACGGUCCUAUGGAUUGUAAACUGCUUUUGUACAGAACGAAAAGGCUCUGGUUAAUACCUGGGGCUCAUGACGGUACUGUAAGAAUAAGCACCGGCUAACU